Long non-coding RNA from Balaenoptera musculus (blue whale), 522 nucleotides. RefSeq lists it as uncharacterized. Lineage: Eukaryota; Metazoa; Chordata; Mammalia; Artiodactyla; Balaenopteridae. The record is from RefSeq and is a predicted model, not a curated record. The transcript is spliced from 3 exons.
GAAAGAGUAGGAGGGCUGUGGAUAUCUGUUUGUGCAGAUCUGUACAUCACCUGUCAGAGGAAGGCACCAAAGAGGAGGUAUACUGCUGAGCCAGUCCUGAAUGAAAGGAGAACUUUUCUGACCUGAGGGAAGGCAACUGAAAAAUGACUAGCAGAGGGGAAACAGAGGCUCCAUCAGUAAGAGUGAAUGUCUGUUAACCUGUUUGGCUCUCAGCUCUGUGGAAGUCUCUGACCUCAUAGAGAGCUGCAGAAAGACAGUGAAAUUGAGAGAUUGUCAUUCCUUCUGGGUUUGAAAGCUGCACGUCGGAUACACACACACAAGGAGGCAUUGCCAGUAUUAUCCUCAUAUGUUGAAAAAUUCCAGUCCUGUACGAACACUUUUCCUCUUUCAGUAUUUUCCUAUUCAUACUUCACCUAUGUCUUUUAUGAUCUAAAUAACCCUUGGAAGUGUUUGUUAUUAAAAUGAUAUGGGUAUAUAGGCUGUGGUGUAACUUAGGGGUCGCAAACUUUUUCUGUAAAAGGU